AAGACUUGGCGGUGCCCUAUACCUCCUAGAGGAGCCUGUUCUAUAAUCGAUAACCCCCGAUCCACCUCACCAUCUCUUGCCAAUACCGCCUGUAUACCUCCGUCCCAAAUUUACCCCUCAAGGGCAAUAGUCGAUUUAAUGGUUUACCACCAGAAAGACAGGUCAAGGUGCAGCGAAUGAGAUGGGAAGCAAUGGGCUACAUUUUCUACCUAUAGACUAUACGAAUAAAUCAUGAUGAAACCUGAUUAGAAGGCGGAUUUAGCAGUAAAAGGAGAAUAGAGCGCUCCUUUUAAGUAGGCUCUAGGGCGCGCACAAACCGCCCGUCACUCUCUUCGACCCGCACUAUUACUAUACCUAAUACCUCAUUUAGGGACAAGAAGAGGAAAGUCGUAACAUGGUAAGUCCACCGGAAGGUGGACUUGG
Molecule: ribosomal RNA, 423 nt
Filed under: Pelobatrachus ligayae
Lineage: Eukaryota; Metazoa; Chordata; Amphibia; Anura; Megophryidae
Description: Megophrys ligayae partial 12S ribosomal RNA
Rfam family: Bacterial small subunit ribosomal RNA
Source: RNAcentral